Molecule: ribosomal RNA, 440 nt
Filed under: uncultured bacterium
Lineage: Bacteria
Description: partial 16S ribosomal RNA
Rfam family: Bacterial small subunit ribosomal RNA
Source: RNAcentral
CCUACGGGAGGCUGCAGUGGGGAAUAUUGCACAAUGGGGGAAACCCUGAUGCAGCGACGCCGCGUGAGUGAAGAAGUAUUUCGGUAUGUAAAGCUCUAUCAGCAGGGAAGAAAAUGACGGUACCUGACUAAGACGCCGCGGGUAACUACGUGCCAGCACCCGCGGGAAUACGUAGGGGGCAAGCGUUAUCCGGAUUUAGUGGGUGUAAAGGGGGCGUAGUCGGCAGAGUAAGUCCGAAGGGAAAGCCCGCGGCCCAACUCCGGGACUGCUGUUGAAACUGGCUGGCUAGAGUGCUGGAGAGGUAAGCGGAAUGCGUAGUGUAGCGGUGAAAUGCGUAGAUAUUAGGAGGAACACCAGUGGCGAAGGCGGCUUACUGGACAGUAUCUGACGUUGAGGCUCGAAAGCGUGGGGAGCAAACAGGAUUAGAUACCCUAGUAGUC